CGGAGGUCUUGUUUGUGAAGCGUUUCUAGACGCGCUAGUUGGGCAGCGAGGCGUGCUAUUUCUUGUGUGCGUUGUUUUUUCAGGCGAGUGCCGUGUUUAAUGAGGAUCCCUCGGAUAGCGCAUUUGUGUGCUUCCCAGACAGUCGUUGGUGCGCUGUCUGUUGUUUGAUUGGUGAGGAAGAAGUGGUCUAGAGUGUUUCUAAUUUCUGUUUGGAUCAGUGGGUCCUCUAAGAGUGAUUCAUUAAGUUUCCAUGUCCAUUGGGAUCCGAAGGUUCUAGAAUUGUCGACGGU
Non-coding RNA from Pelobates cultripes (western spadefoot toad), 290 nucleotides. NCBI's taxonomy places the organism in Eukaryota, Metazoa, Chordata, Amphibia, Anura, Pelobatidae. The record is from the annotation of a GenBank genome assembly.